RNAcentral lists this ribosomal RNA (428 nucleotides) under uncultured bacterium. Its description in RNAcentral is "bacterial SSU rRNA". It matches the Rfam family "Bacterial small subunit ribosomal RNA", at positions 355 to 775 of the family's 1533-position model. The record is from RNAcentral.
UAGGGAAUAUUGGACAAUGGGGGCAACCCUGAUCCAGCCAUGCCGCGUGAGUGAAGAAGGCCCUCGGGUUGUAAAGCUCUUUUGUCCGGAAAGAAAAGCUUCGGGUUAAUACCCCGGGGUUCUGACGGUACCGGAAGAAUAAGCACCGGCUAACUUCGUGCCAGCAGCCGCGGUAAUACGAAGGGUGCAAGCGUUACUCGGAAUUACUGGGCGUAAAGCGUGCGUAGGUGGUUGUUUAAGUCUGAUGUGAAAGCCCUGGGCUCAACCUGGGAAUGGCACUGGAAACUGGGCAGCUAGAGUGCGGUAGAGGGUAGUGGAAUUCCCGGUGUAGCAGUGAAAUGCGUAGAGAUCGGGAGGAACAUCUGUGGCGAAGGCGACUGCCUGGACCAGCACUGACACUGAGGCACGAAAGCGUGGGGAGCAAACAG